This 328-nucleotide ribosomal RNA is filed under the name uncultured Anaerolineaceae bacterium. RNAcentral describes it as "bacterial SSU rRNA". It matches the Rfam family "Bacterial small subunit ribosomal RNA", at positions 1041 to 1382 of the family's 1533-position model. The record is from RNAcentral. Lineage: Bacteria; Bacillati; Chloroflexota; Anaerolineae; Anaerolineales; Anaerolineaceae.
UUGCAUGGCUGUCGUCAGCUCGUGUCGUGAGAUGUUCGGUUAAGUCCGCUAACGAGCGCAACCCUCGCUGUAUGUUACAUGUGUCAUACAGGACCGCCGGUAUCAAGCCGGAGGAAGGUGGGGAUGACGUCAAGUCCGCAUGGCCUUUAUGUCCGGGGCUACACACACGCUACAAUGGUUGGUACAAUGGGUUGCUAAGCCGCGAGGUGGAGCCAAUCCCCCAAAGCCGGCCUCAGUUCAGAUUGCAGGCUGCAACUCGCCUGCAUGAAGCUGGAGUUGCUAGUAAACGCGCGUCAGCUAUAGUGCGUUGAAUACGUUCUCGGGCCUU